UGGGGAAUUUUGGACAAUGGGCGCAAGCCUGAUCCAGCAAUGCCGCGUGAGUGAAGAAGGCCUUCGGGUUGUAAAGCUCUUUUGUCAGGGAAGAAACGGCCUGUUCUAAUACAGCGGGCUAAUGACGGUACCUGAAGAAUAAGCACCGGCUAACUACGUGCCAGCAGCCGCGGUAAUACGUAGGGUGCAAGCGUUAAUCGGAAUUACUGGGCGUAAAGCGUGCGCAGGCGGUUUUGUAAGUUUGUCGUGAAAUCCCCGGGCUCAACCUGGGAAUGGCGAUGAAGACUGCAAGGCUAGAGUUUGGCAGAGGGGGGUAGAAUUCCACGUGUAGCAGUGAAAUGCGUAGAUAUGUGGAGGAACACCGAUGGCGAAGGCAGCCCCCUGGGUCAAAACUGACGCUCAUGCACGAAAGCGUGGGGAGCAAACAG
This 428-nucleotide ribosomal RNA is filed under the name uncultured bacterium. RNAcentral describes it as "bacterial SSU rRNA". It matches the Rfam family "Bacterial small subunit ribosomal RNA", at positions 355 to 775 of the family's 1533-position model. The record is from RNAcentral.